RNAcentral lists this ribosomal RNA (550 nucleotides) under uncultured bacterium. Its description in RNAcentral is "bacterial SSU rRNA". It matches the Rfam family "Bacterial small subunit ribosomal RNA", at positions 355 to 896 of the family's 1533-position model. The record is from RNAcentral.
UAGGGAAUCUUCGGCAAUGGACGGAAGUCUGACCGAGCAACGCCGCGUGAGUGAAGAAGGUUUUCGGAUCGUAAAGCUCUGUUGUAAGAGAAGAACGAGUGUGAGAGUGGAAAGUUCACACUGUGACGGUAUCUUACCAGAAAGGGACGGCUAACUACGUGCCAGCAGCCGCGGUAAUACGUAGGUCCCGAGCGUUGUCCGGAUUUAUUGGGCGUAAAGCGAGCGCAGGCGGUUAGAUAAGUCUGAAGUUAAAGGCUGUGGCUUAACCAUAGUACGCUUUGGAAACUGUUUAACUUGAGUGCAAGAGGGGGGAGUGGAAUUCCAUGUGUAGCGGUGAAAUGCGUAGAUAUAUGGAGGAACACCGGUGGCGAAAGCGGCUCUCUGGCUUGUAACUGACGCUGAGGCUCGAAAGCGUGGGGAGCAGACAGGAUUAGAUACCCUGGUAGUCCACGCUGUAAACGAUGAGUGCUAGGUGUUAGACCCUUUCCGGGGUUUAGUGCCGUAGCUAACGCAUUAAGCACUCCGCCUGGGGAGUACGACCGCAAGGUUG